ACCUCUCUAACAAGGUGCAGAGCUUAGCUGAUUGGUGAACAGUGAUUGGUUUCCGCCUUGUUCACAGUGGCUAAGUUCUGCACCUGAAGAGAAGGUG
This is a microRNA precursor of Choloepus hoffmanni (Hoffmann's two-fingered sloth), 97 nucleotides long. NCBI's taxonomy places the organism in Eukaryota, Metazoa, Chordata, Mammalia, Pilosa, Megalonychidae. The record is from Ensembl.